UGACCUCGGAUUAGGUAGGGAUACCCGCUGA
Molecule: ribosomal RNA, 31 nt
Filed under: uncultured Tetracladium
Lineage: Eukaryota; Fungi; Ascomycota
Description: partial 28S ribosomal RNA
Source: RNAcentral